Molecule: small nucleolar RNA, 321 nt
Organism: Cyprinodon variegatus (sheepshead minnow)
Lineage: Eukaryota; Metazoa; Chordata; Actinopteri; Cyprinodontiformes; Cyprinodontidae
Source: Ensembl
AUCCAGUGAUGAGACGUUGGCAUUAAUUAUGAUCUGGUCAGACCUAGAAACUGUGGCUUUUAAUCAGAUGUUUGGUGGGUAAUCUUGGUAGUGUGAUUGAGUUUUAUUACACUGCUGUAAGGGCUCACCUAUAUUAAAUCUGCCACCUUCUACCACCUCUAUCCCAUGGUGAGACAUUUUGUGGGAUUUGUAGAAGAUGUCAAAACACUGUGUGUGGUUUCUUGUUUGUUGUGUGAAUGUUUAUGUAUCAGCUGGUAAAAGGCUAUUGUCUCUAUAGUUGGUUUGACAGAUAUGAACUUCAUCUUUGGUAAUCUGAGGAUA